This 1304-nucleotide ribosomal RNA is filed under the name metagenome. Its description in RNAcentral is "bacterial SSU rRNA". It matches the Rfam family "Bacterial small subunit ribosomal RNA", at positions 189 to 1486 of the family's 1533-position model. The record is from RNAcentral.
UGAGCCGCAAGGUAAAAGAUUUAUCGUCAAGAGAGGAGCUCGCGUCCGAUUAGCUAGUUGGUGGGGUAAAAGCCUACCAAGGCGACGAUCUGUAGCCGGUCUGAGAGGACGAACAGCCACACUGGGACUGAGACACGGCCCAGACUCCUACGGGAGGCAGCAGUGGGGAAUAUUGGACAAUGGGCGAAAGCCUGAUCCAGCAAUGCCGCGUGUGUGAAGAAGGCCUGCGGGUUGUAAAGCACUUUCAGUGGGGAAGAAAAGCCUGGGGUGAAUACCCUCGGGUCUUGACGUUACCCACGGAAUCAGCAUCGGCUAACUCCGUGCCAGCAGCCUCGGUAAUACGGAGGAUGCAAGCGUUAUCCGGAAUUAUUGGGCGUAAAGGGUCCGCAGGUGGCCCAUCAAGUCUGCUGUCAAAGACCGAAGCUUAACUUCGGGCAGGCGGUGGAAACUGGUGAGCUAGAGUACGGUAGGGGUAGAGGGAAUUUCCAGUGUAGCGGUGAAAUGCGUAGAGAUUGGAAAGAACACCAGUGGCGAAGGCGCUCUACUGGACCUGUACUGACACUGAGGGACGAAAGCUAGGGGAGCGAAAGGGAUUAGAUACCCCUGUAGUCCUAGCUGUAAACGAUGGAUACUAGGCGUUGCUUGUAUCGACCCGAGCAGUGCCGUAGCUAACGCGUUAAGUAUCCCGCCUGGGGAGUACGCACGCAAGUGUGAAACUCAAAGGAAUUGACGGGGGCCCGCACAAGCGGUGGAGUAUGUGGUUUAAUUCGAUGCAACGCGAAGAACCUUACCAGGACUUGACAUCCCACGAAUCUUGGAGAGAUCCGAGAGUGCCUUAGGGAACGUGGAGACAGGUGGUGCAUGGCUGUCGUCAGCUCGUGUCGUGAGAUGUUGGGUUAAGUCCCGCAACGAGCGCAACCCUCGUCCUCAGUUGCCAGCAUUAAGUUGGGCACUUUGGGGAGACUGCCGGUGACAAACCGGAGGAAGGUGGGGAUGACGUCAAGUCAGCAUGCCCCUUACGUCCUGGGCUACACACGUACUACAAUGGUUGGGACAAAGGGCAGCGAGCGAGCGAUCGUCAGCGAAUCUCAUCAAACCCAGCCUCAGUUCAGAUUGCAGGCUGCAACUCGCCUGCAUGAAGGAGGAAUCGCUAGUAAUCGCAGGUCAGCAUACUACGGUGAAUCCGUUCCCGGGCCUUGUACACACCGCCCGUCACACCAUGGAAGCUGGCCACGCCCGAAGUCGUUACCCUAACCGUUCGCGGAGGGGGAUGCCGAAGGCAGGGCUGGUGACUAGGGUGAAGG